Molecule: ribosomal RNA, 470 nt
Filed under: uncultured bacterium
Lineage: Bacteria
Description: bacterial SSU rRNA
Rfam family: Bacterial small subunit ribosomal RNA
Source: RNAcentral
ACUCCUACGGGAGGCAGCAGUGGGGAAUAUUGCACAAUGGGCGCAAGCCUGAUGCAGCCAUGCCGCGUGUAUGAAGAAGCCUUCGGUUGUAAAGUACUUUCAGCAGUGAGGAAGGCGGUACGUUAAUAGCGUGCUCGUUUGACGUUAGCUGCAGAAGAAGCACCGGCUAACUCCGUGCCAGCAGCCGCGGUAAUACGGAGGGUGCGAGCGUUAAUCGGAAUUACUGGGCGUAAAGCGCAUGCAGGUGGUUUGUUAAGUCAGAUGUGAAAGCCCGGGGCUUAACCUCGGAAUAGCAUUUGAAACUGGCAGACUAGAGUACUGGUAGAUGGGGGUAGAAGUUUCAGGUGUAGCGGUGAAAUGCGUAGAGAUCUGAAGGAAUACCGGUGGCGAAGGCGGCCCCCUGGACGAUACUGACACUCAGGAUGCGAAAGCGUGGGGAGCAAACAGGAUUAGAUACCCUGGUAGCUACG